RNAcentral lists this long non-coding RNA (749 nucleotides) under Elaeis guineensis (African oil palm). RNAcentral's name for it is "long non-coding RNA (EGUI_LNC020967)". Lineage: Eukaryota; Viridiplantae; Streptophyta; Magnoliopsida; Arecales; Arecaceae. The record is from RNAcentral.
CUGGGUCAGUUUAGGAUAUGAUCAUUUACUGAAUUAGAAAAAAUGCCUCAACUCUAAAAAAAUUUUCAACCAAAUGUAAUAUCUUGUCCCCAUGUUUGUCCAAAAAAAGGGUCAACGUCGGGACGACCUGCGCUGGCACAAGCCGUGCCUUCACCUGCCUUUCUUUUUCACUCCAUGGGGCACCUUGAGCCUACCCUAGAGUUUAUGAAAGCAACCCAAACUAUAUCAUGAUAUCCAUCCACCAGACUAAGACAAUCAAUUUCAUGCAACCACAGUUGGAAGAGAAAGGUCCCACUCCCAUAGCAAUUAACCAAAAGAACCUUCAAGCCCCAAAAGAUCCUUCUCUUUUUCCUCUCCUCUGUAACAACUUGUGAGUUGGGGCUCGUCCUAAACUCGUCCUUAUCUUCCCAAAUCCAAGGUGGUUAGAUUAAAAAAGAUUGAUUUCCCUUCUUAGAAAGUUGGCCGACAAAUUAUCUUCUACCGGCUUGCUCUUUUUGUCCUAGGGUCUAGUUCAAUGGAGAAAAUUUUUCUUUAUUGGAGUAUCUUUCUCGAAAAAUUGAUAUAUAGAUGUAUAAUAUCUGAAAAAAUACUUUCUCAUAUUUAAUUGAUUAUUAAAAAAAUAAUAAAUUUUAGAAUAAUUUUUAUUAAAUUAAGCAUAUAUUUUUUUAGAAAGAUUAUGUAAUAUAUUUGUUAUAUCUUUAAUAAAAAAAAGAACUUAUUUUAUUCUAUUUAAAAACUUAAGUAUAGUU